AACACAUGCAGUCGAGCGGUAGCACAGAGAGCUUGCUCUCGGGUGACGAGCGGCGGACGGGUGAGUAAUGUCUGGGAAACUGCCUGAUGGAGGGGGAUAACUACUGGAAACGGUAGCUAAUACCGCAUAACGUCGCAAGACCAAAGUGGGGGACCUUCGGGCCUCAUGCCAUCAGAUGUGCCCAGAUGGGAUUAGCUAGUAGGUGGGGUAACGGCUCACCUAGGCGACGAUCCCUAGCUGGUCUGAGAGGAUGACCAGCCACACUGGAACUGAGACACGGUCCAGACUCCUACGGGAGGCAGCAGUGGGGAAUAUUGCACAAUGGGCGCAAGCCUGAUGCAGCCAUGCCGCGUGUGUGAAGAAGGCCUUCGGGUUGUAAAGCACUUUCAGCGGGGAGGAAGGCGGUGAGGUUAAUAACCUCAUCGAUUGACGUUACCCGCAGAAGAAGCACCGGCUAACUCCGUGCCAGCAGCCGCGGUAAUACGGAGGGUGCAAGCGUUAAUCGGAAUUACUGGGCGUAAAGCGCACGCAGGCGGUCUGUCAAGUCGGAUGUGAAAUCCCCGGGCUCAACCUGGGAACUGCAUUCGAAACUGGCAGGCUAGAGUCUUGUAGAGGGGGGUAGAAUUCCAGGUGUAGCGGUGAAAUGCGUAGAGAUCUGGAGGAAUACCGGUGGCGAAGGCGGCCCCCUGGACAAAGACUGACGCUCAGGUGCGAAAGCGUGGGGAGCAAACAGGAUUAGAUACCCUGGUAGUCCACGCCGUAAACGAUGUCGAUUUGGAGGUUGUGCCCUUGAGGCGUGGCUUCCGGAGCUAACGCGUUAAAUCGACCGCCUGGGGAGUACGGCCGCAAGGUUAAAACUCAAAUGAAUUGACGGGGGCCCGCACAAGCGGUGGAGCAUGUGGUUUAAUUCGAUGCAACGCGAAGAACCUUACCUGGUCUUGACAUCCACAGAACUUUCCAGAGAUGGAUUGGUGCCUUCGGGAACUGUGAGACAGGUGCUGCAUGGCUGUCGUCAGCUCGUGUUGUGAAAUGUUGGGUUAAGUCCCGCAACGAGCGCAACCCUUAUCCUUUGUUGCCAGCGGUUCGGCCGGGAACUCAAAGGAAACUGCCAGUGAUAAACUGGAGGAAGGGGGGGGAUGACUUCAAGUCAUCAUGCCCCUUACGACCAGGGUUUACCCCGUGGCUACAAGGCCAUAACAAGAAGAAGCGACCUCCCGGGAACAA
RNAcentral lists this ribosomal RNA (1224 nucleotides) under Klebsiella pneumoniae. RNAcentral describes it as "bacterial SSU rRNA". It matches the Rfam family "Bacterial small subunit ribosomal RNA", at positions 50 to 1266 of the family's 1533-position model. The record is from RNAcentral. Lineage: Bacteria; Pseudomonadati; Pseudomonadota; Gammaproteobacteria; Enterobacterales; Enterobacteriaceae.